CGGCGUCGAGCGGCGGACGGGUGAGUAAUGCCUAGGAAAUUGCCCUGAUGUGGGGGAUAACCAUUGGAAACGAUGGCUAAUACCGCAUAAUACCUUCGGGUCAAAGAGGGGGACCUUCGGGCCUCUCGCGUCAGGAUAUGCCUAGGUGGGAUUAGCUAGUUGGUGAGGUAAUGGCUCACCAAGGCGACGAUCCCUAGCUGGUCUGAGAGGAUGAUCAGCCACACUGGAACUGAGACACGGUCCAGACUCCUACGGGAGGCAGCAGUGGGGAAUAUUGCACAAUGGGCGCAAGCCUGAUGCAGCCAUGCCGCGUGUGUGAAGAAGGCCUUCGGGUUGUAAAGCACUUUCAGUCGUGAGGAAGGUAGUGUAGUUAAUAGCUGCAUUAUUUGACGUUAGCGACAGAAGAAGCACCGGCUAACUCCGUGCCAGCAGCCGCGGUAAUACGGAGGGUGCGAGCGUUAAUCGGAAUUACUGGGCGUAAAGCGCAUGCAGGUGGUUUGUUAAGUCAGAUGUGAAAGCCCGGGGCUCAACCUCGGAAUAGCAUUUGAAACUGGCAGACUAGAGUACUGUAGAGGGGGGUAGAAUUUCAGGUGUAGCGGUGAAAUGCGUAGAGAUCUGAAGGAAUACCGGUGGCGAAGGCGGCCCCCUGGACAGAUACUGACACUCAGAUGCGAAAGCGUGGGGAGCAAACAGGAUUAGAUACCCUGGUAGUCCACGCCGUAAACGAUGUCUACUUGGAGGUUGUGGCCUUGAGCCGUGGCUUUCGGAGCUAACGCGUUAAGUAGACCGCCUGGGGGAGUACGGUCGCAAGAUUAAAACUCAAAUGAAUUGACGGGGGCCCGCACAAGCGGUGGAGCAUGUGGUUUAAUUCGAUGCCACGCGAAGAACCUUACCUACUCUUGACAUCCAGAAGAACUUUCCAUAGAUGGAUUGGUGCCUUCGGGAACUCUGAGACAGGUGCUGCAUGGCUGUCGUCAGCUCCUGUUGUGAAAUGGUGGGUUAAGUCCC
RNAcentral lists this ribosomal RNA (1008 nucleotides) under Vibrio sp. RNAcentral's name for it is "bacterial SSU rRNA". It matches the Rfam family "Bacterial small subunit ribosomal RNA", at positions 86 to 1088 of the family's 1533-position model. Lineage: Bacteria; Pseudomonadati; Pseudomonadota; Gammaproteobacteria; Vibrionales; Vibrionaceae. The record is from RNAcentral.